GAGGAAAGAUUGAGACGUGCCUAAUACAUGCAAGUCGAGCGAACAGACGAGGAGCUUGCUCCUCUGACGUUAGCGGCGGACGGGUGAGUAACACGUGGAUAACCUACCUAUAAGACUGGGAUAACUUCGGGAAACCGGAGCUAAUACCGGAUAAUAUAUUGAACCGCAUGGUUCAAUAGUGAAAGACGGUUUUGCUGUCACUUAUAGAUGGAUCCGCGCCGCAUUAGCUAGUUGGUAAGGUAACGGCUUACCAAGGCAGCGAUGCGUAGCCGACCUGAGAGGGUGAUCGGCCACACUGGAACUGAGACACGGUCCAGACUCCUACGGGAGGCAGCAGUAGGGAAUCUUCCGCAAUGGGCGAAGGCUUGACGGAGCAACGCCGCGUGAGUGAUGAAGGUCUUCGGAUCGUAAAACUCUGUUAUUAGGGAGGAACAAAUGUGUAAGUAACUAUGCACGUCUUGACGGUACCUAAUCAGAAAGCCACGGCUAACUACGUG
RNAcentral lists this ribosomal RNA (497 nucleotides) under uncultured bacterium. RNAcentral's name for it is "partial 16S ribosomal RNA". It matches the Rfam family "Bacterial small subunit ribosomal RNA", at positions 28 to 507 of the family's 1533-position model. The record is from RNAcentral.